CUAUCCUUACUACUGACAGUAAUGACUGCUCCUCAGUAAUACUUGACCUUGGACACCCAUAUUCUCAGUUUUUCAUUACUGCUAAUGCCUUUCAUCUUAAUGAACAUCAAACAUGUACAAUCUGACUUAACCCCUGACAAUGCAGAUGUACUGUUUGUGUUUUGCAAUGAAGGUGGUCAUGGUGGUCACUUUGAGAUACAUUUUGAAGAUGUGCAUGUGCCUUUAUCUUACGUAAGUACAGUGUACAGUUUUUUUAGGUAAGUAUUUUCAAGAACAUCUGUUGCCUUUGCCUCUGUGUUAUUUGAUAUAUAAACAAAACGUUAAGGAUAGCAAUAUAAUAAAAUAAAUAUUUUGAAAGAGGCGAACCACUGACUCAUUGAACUAACAUAAACAUUGUGAUUGUAAGACCUAAGUGGAGUACCACAUGUUUUUCCUGCAUGUCUUGAAUUUAGAUAUUCUACGAGUUUUUAAUGUUUCUGAGAGGUAUAUCACAUAUAAUACAUGUAAAUUGUUAAUAUUUUUUUAAUAUAACACAUGUAAAUUGUCCCAAAGAACUAAAAUUUUGCAAAAAGAGAUUCCCAACCAAUCAGAAUAGCAGCCAAAUAUAAUCUCAAGUUCAUUUUAACCUUCGAUGACUACAGAGCUUUUUAGUUUCAUACAUUACCUUUUAUUUGGCAGAAAGUUAUUGAACAAAAGUUAAAAUCAAAUUGGCAGGAUGGUGUAAAAAUCAUCACCUUUACAUGAAGGGUCAAGGAUGAAAAAGUAAGGCCACAAUGCCCAGGGGAUCGUGUACCCUAUUUAGGAGGAAUCCUCUGGGGACCAACCCCUUGGCCAUUCUCCCUCUGUGAAGACUGCUGAAAUUGCAUCACCAUUGCAUUUCUUAGAUUUAAUGAAUUGUGUGAUCUUAACCUAUGAAUUUAACUUGUGGGUAAAAAUAAAAAGAAAUAUCCUCUGAUGUACAAAGCCAUUUUAAUCCAGGAGGGUCAAACACAAGGACAGUUUUAUCAGAGUUUAACACUUUUCAAGUGCUGCAUUCCAGUGACAAACAGGUUUCAAUUCAUAGCCAAGCUUAAAUGUUAUAAAAGAAACCACAAAGGAGUAUCCUUUUUCAUUUGCUGAUACAACUGUUUCCUUCGGUGACAGAAGAGGAUUUGACUGCACAAGGUCGACUUGGACCAGGCCAACUUCACCACUGUAUGAGAACAAUAGGGCUGGCUGAGCGAGCUCUGGAAAUAUUGUACCAGCGUGCGGCCUUUAGAGAGACCUUCGGAAGGAAACUCUACCAGCAUAUUGCAAUGAUCAAGGUGGCAGCUGCUGGAAUGGCCUGUAAGGUGGUCGACAACGCAAUUCAAGUUCAUGGAGGAGGUGGAGUGUCUCAAAAUUUCCCUGUUGCACAGAUACAGCUAACAUGUUUCCGGAGCUGUCGCCUUGGGCCAGCACAAACCCGGAACAACACUCCACCACUGUCACGAAAUAAACUGUAUCACCCACCACGAGCACUACUGCACGCACCCAGGACUGGUGACCGUGUUUGUAUCAUUGUGGGGCGGAUAUUAUUGUUUAUUAUUUGGGACUGCAAUCCUGUUGUUAUUUAUCCUGUGCAGUACACAUUGGUGUGUAUUGCCGGGGGAUUAUUGUUUGGUCGCCAGACUUGGAAAACAAAAUAAAACUCCUUUCCAA
Acipenser ruthenus (sterlet) is the source of this 1680-nucleotide long non-coding RNA. RefSeq lists it as uncharacterized. The transcript is spliced from 3 exons. Lineage: Eukaryota; Metazoa; Chordata; Actinopteri; Acipenseriformes; Acipenseridae. The record is from RefSeq and is a predicted model, not a curated record.